This 464-nucleotide ribosomal RNA is filed under the name uncultured bacterium. RNAcentral's name for it is "bacterial SSU rRNA". It matches the Rfam family "Bacterial small subunit ribosomal RNA", at positions 330 to 792 of the family's 1533-position model. The record is from RNAcentral.
UCCAGACUCCUACGGGAGGCAGCAGUGAGGAAUAUUGGUCAAUGGCCGAGAGGCUGAACCAGCCAAGUAGCGUGAGGGAAGACUGCCCUAUGGGUUGUAAACCUCUUUUAUGCGGGGAUAAAGGUGUCCACGUGUGGAUGUUUGCAGGUACCGCAUGAAUAAGGACCGGCUAAUUCCGUGCCAGCAGCCGCGGUAAUACGGAGGAUGCGAGCGUUAUCCGGAUUUAUUGGGUUUAAAGGGUGCGCAGGCGGAGGUGCAAGUCAGCGGUCAAAUUGCGGGGCUCAACCCCGUACUGCCGUUGAAACUGCAUCCCUUGAGUGCGCGAGAAGUAUGCGGAAUGCAUGGUGUAGCGGUGAAAUGCAUAGAUAUCACGCAGAACUCCGAUUGCGAAGGCAGCAUACCGGCGCGCAACUGACGCUCAUGCACGAAAGCGUGGGUAUCGAACAGGAUUAGAUACCCCAGUA